GGUGGCUCAGUGGUAGAGCGCUUGCCUCACAUGCAUGAGGCUCUGAGUUCAAUUGCACAGCACCA
This 65-nucleotide transfer RNA is filed under the name Dipodomys ordii (Ord's kangaroo rat). It matches the Rfam family "tRNA". Rfam says of the family: Transfer RNA (tRNA) molecules are approximately 80 nucleotides in length. Their secondary structure includes four short double-helical elements and three loops (D, anti-codon, and T loops). The record is from Rfam by way of RNAcentral. Lineage: Eukaryota; Metazoa; Chordata; Mammalia; Rodentia; Heteromyidae.